CUUGCUCCUUGGGUGACGAGUGGCGGACGGGUGAGUAAUGCCUGGGAAACUGCCCGAUGGAGGGGGAUAACUACUGGAAACGGUAGCUAAUACCGCAUAACGUCUUCGGACCAAAGUGGGGGACCUUCGGGCCUCACACCAUCGGAUGUGCCCAGGUGGGAUUAGCUAGUAGGUGGGGUAAUGGCUCACCUAGGCGACGAUCCCUAGCUGGUCUGAGAGGAUGACCAGCCACACUGGAACUGAGACACGGUCCAGACUCCUACGGGAGGCAGCAGUGGGGAAUAUUGCACAAUGGGCGCAAGCCUGAUGCAGCCAUGCCGCGUGUAUGAAGAAGGCCUUCGGGUUGUAAAGUACUUUCAGUGGGGAGGAAGGCGAUGAGGUUAAUAGCCUCGUCGAUUGACGUUACCCGCAGAAGAAGCACCGGCUAACUCCGUGCCAGCAGCCGCGGUAAUACGGAGGGUGCAAGCGUUAAUCGGAAUUACUGGGCGUAAAGCGCACGCAGGCGGUCUGUCAAGUCGGAUGUGAAAUCCCCGGGCUCAACCUGGGAACUGCAUUCGAAACUGGCAGACUAGAGUCUUGUAGAGGGGGGUAGAAUUCCAGGUGUAGCGGUGAAAUGCGUAGAGAUCUGGAGGAAUACCGGUGGCGAAGGCGGCCCCCUGGACAAAGACUGACGCUCAGGUGCGAAGCGUGGGGAG
Molecule: ribosomal RNA, 695 nt
Filed under: Erwinia rhapontici
Lineage: Bacteria; Pseudomonadati; Pseudomonadota; Gammaproteobacteria; Enterobacterales; Erwiniaceae
Description: bacterial SSU rRNA
Rfam family: Bacterial small subunit ribosomal RNA
Source: RNAcentral